RNAcentral lists this ribosomal RNA (2875 nucleotides) under Clostridium perfringens. Its description in RNAcentral is "partial 23S ribosomal RNA". It matches the Rfam family "Bacterial large subunit ribosomal RNA". The record is from RNAcentral. Lineage: Bacteria; Bacillati; Bacillota; Clostridia; Eubacteriales; Clostridiaceae.
GGUCAAGCUACAAAGGGCGCAUGGUGAAUGCCUUGGCAUCAGGAGCCGAUGAAGGACGUGAUAAGCUGCGAUAAGCUUCGGGUAGGCGCACAUAGCCUGAGAUCCGAAGAUCUCCGAAUGAGGAAACUCACAUGGGAAACCCCAUGUAUCAUUAAGUGAAUACAUAGCUUAAUGAAGGUAACCCAGGGAACUGAAACAUCUAAGUACCUGGAGGAAGAGAAAGAAAAAUCGAUUUUCUUAGUAGCGGCGAGCGAAAGGGAAAGAGCCCAAACCGGAAACUUGUUUCCGGGGUUGUGGACAUAGCAUAAAAGUGGAGGCUAUUGUAACUGAAGAGAACUGGAAAGUUCCACCGUAGAAGGUAAUAGUCCUGUAAGUGAAACGAGAAGACCACGAGUUAUGAUCCAGAGUACCACGAGACACGUGAAACCUUGUGGGAAGCAGGGAGGACCACCUCCCAAGGCUAAAUACUACCUGAUGACCGAUAGUGAAGCAGUACCGUGAGGGAAAGGUGAAAAGAACCCCGGGAGGGGAGUGAAAUAGAACCUGAAACCGUGUGCCUACAACCGCUCAGAGCCCCUUAUGAGGGUGAUGAGGUGCUUUUUGUAGAACGAGCCAACGAGUUACGGUAUGUAGCAAGGUUAAGUACUUAAGGUACGGAGCCGAAGGGAAACCGAGUCUGAAUAGGGCGACUAGUUGCAUGCCGUAGACCCGAAACCGGGUGACCUAUCCAUGGCCAGGUUGAAGCGAGGGUAAAACCUCGUGGAGGACCGAACCACGUUGCUGUUGAAAAAGCAUGGGAUGAGCUGUGGAUAGCGGAGAAAUUCCAAUCGAACCCGGAGAUAGCUGGUUCUCUCCGAAAUAGCUUUAGGGCUAGCGUCGAGUAUGAGUAGUGGAGGUAGAGCACUGAAUGGGCUAGGGGGCAUAGCGCUUACCGAACCUUAUCAAACUCCGAAUGCCACAUACUUUGAGCUCGGCAGUCAGACUACGAAUGAUAAGAUCCGUGGUCAAAAGGGAAACAGCCCAGAUCGUCAGCUAAGGUCCCAAAGUGUAAGUUAAGUGGGAAAGGAUGUGAGAUUUCUAAGACAACUAGGAUGUUGGCUUAGAAGCAGCCAUUCAUUAAAAGAGUGCGUAAUAGCUCACUAGUCGAGAGAUCUUGCGCCGAAAAUGUAACGGGGCUAAACUUACCACCGAAGCUACGGGCUUGAACUUAGUUCAAGCGGUAGGAGAGCGUCGUAACCGGGCUGAAGUCGUACCGUAAGGAGCGGUGGACUGGUUACGAGUGAGAAUGUUGGCAUCAGUAGCGAGAUGUGGGUGAGAAUCCCACAGGCCGAAAACCUAAGGUUUCCUCAGGAAGGUUCGUCCGCUGAGGGUUAGUCGGGACCUAAGCCGAGGCCGAAAGGCGUAGGUGAUGGACAACUGGUUGAUAUUCCAGUACCACUACCAUCGUUAUUAUCGAUGGCGUGACGCAGGAGGAUAGUGUGUGCUAGCUAUUGGAUGCUAGUCUAAGCGUUUAGGCAGUGAGAGUAGGCAAAUCCGCUCUCAUAAUGCUGAGGCGUGAUGGGGAAGGUUCUACGGAACCGAAGUACAUGAUUCCACGCUGCCAAGAAAAGCGUCUAGAGAGAGAAGUAGUGCCCGUACCGCAAACCGACACAGGUAGGUGAGGAGAGAAUCCUAAGGCCGGCGGAAGAAUUACAGUUAAGGAACUCGGCAAAUUGACCCCGUAAGUUCGCGAGAAGGGGUGCCUACGAGAGUAGGCCGCAGAGAAUAGGCCCAAGCAACUGUUUAGCAAAAACACAGGUCUCUGCUAAAGCGUAAGCUGAUGUAUAGGGGCUGACGCCUGCCCGGUGCUGGAAGGUUAAGGGGAACACUUAGCGCAAGCGAAGGUGUGAACUUAAGCCCCAGUAAACGGCGGCCGUAACUAUAACGGUCCUAAGGUAGCGAAAUUCCUUGUCAGGUAAGUUCUGACCCGCACGAAUGGCGUAAUGACUUGGGCACUGUCUCAACUGUAAAUCCGGCGAAGUUGUAGUGCGAGUGAAGAUGCUCGCUACCCGCGAUUGGACGGAAAGACCCCGUAGAGCUUUACUGUAGCUUAGCAUUGAGUUUUGGUAUUGUCUGUACAGGAUAGGUGGGAGACUAGGAAACCAGGGCGUCAGCCUUGGUGGAGUCAACCUUGGGAUACCACCCUGACAGUACUGAAAUUCUAACUGGCGGCCAUGAAUCUGGUCACAGGACAUUGUUAGGUGGGCAGUUUGACUGGGGCGGUCGCCUCCUAAAAAGUAACGGAGGCGCCCAAAGGUUCCCUCAGAACGGUCGGAAAUCGUUCGAAGAGUGCAAAGGCAGAAGGGAGCCUGACUGCGACACCCACAAGUGGAGCAGGGACGAAAGUCGGGCUUAGUGAUCCGGUGGUACCUCGUGGGAGGGCCAUCGCUCAACGGAUAAAAGCUACCUCGGGGAUAACAGGCUGAUCUCCCCCAAGAGUCCACAUCGACGGGGAGGUUUGGCACCUCGAUGUCGGCUCGUCGCAUCCUGGGGCUGAAGUAGGUCCCAAGGGUUGGGCUGUUCGCCCAUUAAAGCGGCACGCGAGCUGGGUUCAGAACGUCGUGAGACAGUUCGGUCCCUAUCCGUCGCGGGCGUAGGAAAUUUGAGAGGAGCUGUCCUUAGUACGAGAGGACCGGGAUGGACUGACCUCUGGUGUACCAGUUGUUCCGCCAGGAGCACAGCUGGGUAGCUAAGUCGGGAAUGGAUAAACGCUGAAAGCAUCUAAGCGUGAAGCCAACCUCAAGAUGAGAUUUCCCAUAGCGUAAGCUAGUAAGAUCCCUUGAAGAACACAAGGUUGAUAGGUCGGGGGUGUAAGCAUGGUAACAUGUUCAGCUGA